GAGAGAGAAAGAAAGAGACUGACCAGAGAGAUAGAGUUGUGCACCAAUAAGAAAUGCAUGUAACUCAUUAGCCUUGCAAGUGGCCUACGAUUUUGGCCUUGAAUCUCAAUCAACCUUACCCAUUUUAUAAGAGCGAACGAUGAAGUUCUUGAAGUGCUUGCUUCAAAUGGAUUUGGAAUACUUUCCUGUGUAGUUAGACAUUCCG
This 205-nucleotide unclassified non-coding RNA is filed under the name Hevea brasiliensis (rubber tree). The record is from RNAcentral. Lineage: Eukaryota; Viridiplantae; Streptophyta; Magnoliopsida; Malpighiales; Euphorbiaceae.